Molecule: non-coding RNA, 498 nt
Organism: Sorex araneus (European shrew)
Lineage: Eukaryota; Metazoa; Chordata; Mammalia; Eulipotyphla; Soricidae
Source: the annotation of a RefSeq genome assembly
AUGGCCUGGACCCCGCUCCUCCUGGGCCUUUUGGCUCACUGCACAGGUUCUGUAUCUUCCUAUGAGCUGAAUCAGCCGCCCUCAGUUUCUGUGAGCCCGGGAGGGGAGGCCAAGAUGACCUGUAGGGGAAACAACAUUGGAGGCAAAAGUGUUAACUGGUACCAGCAGAAGCCAGACCAGGCUCCUGUGCUGGUCAUCUACUAUGAUAAAAAUCGGCCCUCAGGGAUCCCUGACCGCUUCUCUGGCGCCAACUCUGGGGGCUCGGCCACCCUGACCAUCACAGGUGUGCGCACUGAAGACGAGGCCGACUAUUACUGUCAGGUGUGGGGCAGUGGUAAUGCUCACAGUGGCACAAACAGAUGGGGAAGCCUGGAGCCCUGUAAACCCAGCCAUGAGCUGCUCUGGUCCCAACCCAGUUUGGAGAUUCAAGGGUUCCAGCCCUGCAGUUGGUUCCUCACAGGACUGGCCAGGGAUGAAUGUGGGGCAGACACAACAUAG